RNAcentral lists this unclassified non-coding RNA (240 nucleotides) under uncultured fungus. Its description in RNAcentral is "sequence contains ITS1". The record is from RNAcentral. Lineage: Eukaryota; Fungi.
UGGUACCUGCAUUUCAAGCGACCCUCCUCUUUCUGACGAAGGAGUCGGGAUCGCUCAAAUCCAAUUCUCUCGACGCAAGCGAAGAGAGAUUUGAGAUGUUUACAGAUACUCAAACAAGCAUACUCUCCGGAAUACCAGAGAGUGCAAUGUGCGUUCAAAGAUUCGAUGAUUCACUGAAUUCUGCAAUUCACAUUACGUAUCGCAUUUCGCUGCGUUCUUCAUCGAUGCGUCGUUACCUUA